Molecule: ribosomal RNA, 433 nt
Filed under: uncultured bacterium
Lineage: Bacteria
Description: partial 16S ribosomal RNA
Rfam family: Bacterial small subunit ribosomal RNA
Source: RNAcentral
AACGAACGCUGGCGGCAUGCCUAACACAUGCAAGUCGAACGAGACCUUCGGGUCUAGUUGCGCACGGGUGCGUAACGCGUGGGAACCUGCCCUUAGGUUCGGAACAACUCCCCGAAAGGGGUGCUAAUACCGGAUAAUGUCUUCGGACCAAGGAUUUAUCGCCUUUGGGUGGGCCCGCGUUGGAUUAGCUAGUUGGUAGUGUAAAAGCCUACCAAGGGUACGAUCCACAGCUGGGAGGAGAGGAUGAUCACCCACACUGGGAAUUAGCCACGGCCCAGACUCCUACGGGAGGCAGCAGUGGGGAAUAUUGGACAAUGGGCGAAAGCCUGAUCCAGCAAUGCCGCGUGAGUGAUGAAGGCGUUAGGGUUGUAAAGCUCUUUUACCCGGGAUGAUAAUGACAGUACCGGGAGAAUAAGCACCGGCUAACUCCGUG